AUUGAACGCUGGCGGCAGGCCUAACACAUGCAAGUCGAACGGUAACAGGAAGCAGCUUGCUGCUUUGCUGACGAGUGGCGGACGGGUGAGUAAUGUCUGGGAAACUGCCCGAUGGAGGGGGAUAACUACUGGAAACGGUAGCUAAUACCGCAUAACGUCGCAAGACCAAAGAGGGGGACCUUAGGGCCUCUUGCCAUCGGAUGUGCCCAGAUGGGAUUAGCUAGUAGGUGGGGUAACGGCUCACCUAGGCGACGAUCCCUAGCUGGUCUGAGAGGAUGACCGGCCACACUGGAAAUGAGACACGGUCCAGACUCCUACGGGAGGCAGCAGUGGGGAAUAUUGCACAGUGGGCGGAAGCCUGAUGCAGCCAUGCCGCGUGUAUGAAGAAGGCCUUCGGGUUGUAAAGUACUUUCAUCGGGGAUGAAGAGAGUAAAGGUAAUACCUUUGCUCAUUGACGUUACCCGCAGAAGAAGCACCGGCUAACUCCGUG
This 490-nucleotide ribosomal RNA is filed under the name uncultured bacterium. RNAcentral describes it as "partial 16S ribosomal RNA". It matches the Rfam family "Bacterial small subunit ribosomal RNA", at positions 30 to 507 of the family's 1533-position model. The record is from RNAcentral.